This 319-nucleotide ribosomal RNA is filed under the name Polyplax arvicanthis. RNAcentral describes it as "partial 16S ribosomal RNA". It matches the Rfam family "Archaeal large subunit ribosomal RNA", at positions 2021 to 2554 of the family's 2987-position model. The record is from RNAcentral. Lineage: Eukaryota; Metazoa; Arthropoda; Insecta; Psocodea; Polyplacidae.
GACUGUGCUAAGGUAGCAUAAUAAUUUGUCUUUUAAUUGAAGACUAGAAUGAAUGGGUUAACUUGAGCUAAUCUGUCUCUUUAUAGUUUUAUAAAUUUAAGUUUUAAGUGAAAACGCUUAAAUCAUUUAGAGGGACGAGAAGACCCUUCAGAUCUUCCCCAAUAAGGAAUGAAAGUUUCAACUUCACCUUUGAAGGUUACCUGGGAGGGGGUUUAAAUAUAAACUUUAAUUAAUAAUUAAAAGACAUUACAUUAACUCUGUCUAAUUUGUUGAUCCUCAUAGGAAAGAUUGACAAGAUACCUGAGGGAUAACAGCGUAA